This 360-nucleotide ribosomal RNA is filed under the name Ascocotyle longa. RNAcentral describes it as "SSU rRNA". It matches the Rfam family "Eukaryotic small subunit ribosomal RNA", at positions 1369 to 1690 of the family's 1831-position model. The record is from RNAcentral. Lineage: Eukaryota; Metazoa; Platyhelminthes; Trematoda; Opisthorchiida; Heterophyidae.
ACUCGUGCGGGUGGCGGUAUUCUUUGCCUCUCUGGGGUGAUGGGCCGUUCGCCGGCGGGUGCGGUGCAGGUGUCUACUUCUUAGAGGGACAAGCGGCGUGCCAGUCGCACGAAAUUGAGCAAUAACAGGUCUGUGAUGCCCUUAGAUGUCCGGGGCCGCACGUGCGCUACAAUGACGGUUUCAACGAGUUUGGGAUCCUAGCUCGAAAGAGCUGGGUAAACUGAACCAUGACCGUCGUGACUGGGAUCGGGGCUUGCAAUUGUUCCCCGUGAACGAGGAAUUCCUGGUAAGUGCAAGUCAUAAGCUUGCGCUGAUUACGUCCCUGCCCUUUGUACACACCGCCCGUCGCUACUACCGAUU